GAUGAACGCUGGCGGCGUGCCUAAUACAUGCAAGUCGAGCGAACAGACGAGGAGCUUGCUCCUCUGACGUUAUCGGCGGACGGGUGAGUAACACGUGGAUAACCUACCUAUAAGACUGGGAUAACUUCGGGAAACCGUAGCUAAUACCGGAUAAUAUAUUGAACCGCAUUGUUCAAUAGUGAAAGACGGUUUUGCUGUCACUUAUAGAUGGAUCCGCGCCGCAUUAGCUAGUUGGUAAGGUAACGGCUUACCAAGGCAACGAUGCGUAGCCGACCUGAGAGGGUGAUCGGCCACACUGGAACUGAGACACGGUCCAGACUCCUACGGGAGGCAGCAGUAGGGAAUCUUCCGCAAUGGGCGAAAGCCUGACGGAGCAACGCCGCGUGAGUGAUGAAGGUCUUCGGAUCGUAAAACUCUGUUAUUAGGGAAGAACAAAUGUGUAAGUAACUAUGCACGUCUUGACGGUACCUAAUCAGAAAGCCACGGCUAACUACGUG
This 497-nucleotide ribosomal RNA is filed under the name uncultured bacterium. Its description in RNAcentral is "partial 16S ribosomal RNA". It matches the Rfam family "Bacterial small subunit ribosomal RNA", at positions 28 to 507 of the family's 1533-position model. The record is from RNAcentral.